GAUCAUGGCUCAGGAUGAACGCUGGCGGCGUGCCUAACACAUGCAAGUCGAACGAAGCGCCUUUUGAGAUUCUUCGGAUGAUUGAUUGGUGACUGAGUGGCGGACGGGUGAGUAACGCGUGGGUAACCUGCCCUGUACAGGGGGAUAACAGCUGGAAACGGCUGCUAAUACCGCAUAAGCGCACGAGGAGACAUCUCCUAGUGUGAAAAACUCCGGUGGUACAGGAUGGGCCCGCGU
RNAcentral lists this ribosomal RNA (237 nucleotides) under uncultured bacterium. RNAcentral describes it as "partial 16S ribosomal RNA". It matches the Rfam family "Bacterial small subunit ribosomal RNA", at positions 15 to 236 of the family's 1533-position model. The record is from RNAcentral.